This is a long non-coding RNA of Capsicum annuum, 916 nucleotides long. RefSeq lists it as uncharacterized. The transcript is spliced from 4 exons. NCBI's taxonomy places the organism in Eukaryota, Viridiplantae, Streptophyta, Magnoliopsida, Solanales, Solanaceae. The record is from RefSeq and is a predicted model, not a curated record.
UACCAAGGCUCCCAUAACCCUAGUUAUGGAGUUUUAGCCAUACAUACUUAAAGAAAGAAAUUCCAUUGUAUAUUUCAUAAACAAUUCAGAAAUACUUACAAAAAUACAAGAGACUGUUCCAAAUCUUAGAUUGAUGGUGAAUAAAAUGAAAUCCCAAAUUGUCAACUUGUUUCUCAGUGAAUUCUAUGUUACAAUUGUUUUCAAUAGCCAAAAGAUGCGUAAUCUAACCCUAAGCUGGGUAUUUAUAGACUCUCAGAAAGUGAAUUUAAAAUUCAAAUAAAAGCUACUGCAUCAUCGGUUGAUGGAUAAAGUGACAAUCCGUAGCAAACCUGACGGCCUGUCUCUAGGAUCGUAAAGUCCAUGGUUUCUGUUUAAGGCUAACGGUCAAAGGGAUAGUCCGUCGCAAGACUGAUGGUCCGUCAGUGGAGGCCUUGAUGUCUCAGAUUCCACUUUAGCUUGACGGCCACAACGAUGACCCAUCACAAGCCCGACGUUUCGUCAGUUGGACCGUUGCUGACUUCAAGUGUAUGAAAUAUUCUUCCCAAGGUUGACGGUUGAGAUAACGGUCUGUCGACAAGGUAUGGGUCUCUUAAUUUCGCUAAUUGAAAAUGGGAGUGAGAAGCAAAUGAGGAUUGCUAAGGCUGCUGGAGUUGUCGUUUCAUUUGACUCGAAACCUAUUCCUGGUGUGAUUGCAGAUUGUGAUGCUUCAAAAUAGUCUUAUGGGAGGAAGAACAUAUGGACUUGAUCGAUACCAGAACUAGAGAAAUGCCUUGUAAAACUUGAUUUUUUGACAAAUAAGUAAAUAGUUUGUUUCAUGCAUUUAUGCAUUGCAACUAAUUCUUCUUUACCGACACCAAGUUGGGCCCGUGCUAACACGGCCCCUUCCCCCCAUUCUAGUUUGCGUUGGCCCACCAAC